GACGAACGCUGGCGGCGUGCUUAACACAUGCAAGUCGAACGGAAAGGCCCUGCUUUUGUGGGGUGCUCGAGUGGCGAACGGGUGAGUAACACGUGAGUAACCUGCCCUUGACUUUGGGAUAACUUCAGGAAACUGGGGCUAAUACCGGAUAGGAGCUCCUGCUGCAUGGUGGGGUUUGGAAAGUUUCGGCGGUUGGGGCUGGACUCGCGGCUUAUCAGCUUGUUGGUGGGGUAGUGGCUUACCAAGGCUUUGACGGGUAGCCGGCCUGAGAGGGGGACCGGCCACAUUGGGACUGAGAGACGGCCCAGAGUCCUACGGGAGGCAGCAGGGGGGAAUAUGGCACAAUGGGCGGAAGCCUGAUGCAGCAACGCCGCGUGCGGGAUGACGGCCUUCGGGUGGUAAACCGCUGUCGCCUGUGACGAAGCGUGAGUGACGGUAAUGGGUAAAGAAGCACCGGCUAACUACGUG
Molecule: ribosomal RNA, 468 nt
Filed under: uncultured bacterium
Lineage: Bacteria
Description: partial 16S ribosomal RNA
Rfam family: Bacterial small subunit ribosomal RNA
Source: RNAcentral